UUUCAUUUUUUUUCCUCUUCUGCUGGUAUUAAAAUCUCCAAGACAACUCAAAAAGUCUCAGCCUGCGGAUUUAGAGGACAAGGAGAAGGAAGAACUCUUCCCACAUGAGGAAGGUGAUGAUGUUGCUUCAGGCUCAGCUCAGUCCUUGGGGUGGCCGUGCUGGGACACGAGGGAUAUUGCCCCAUGGCUGCACUCAGAUCCCAGCACUCCAGGGCAUAAAAGCAUGGCACUGCCAUACUCACAUCACAUGCCAUGUCCACAUCACCCCUUCCUAUUGUCACGCUGCCUGUAGGACACUUCCUGCGGGUAUUUGCUGGUAAAGAGAAUCAGACACAAAAAAAUCUUUCACUGAAGAGUUAACUUUGCUUAAAGAGAUAGUGACAAAUCACAUUUCUCCACACAAAUCUGUGCUGAGCCAGGAUCCUCCCUCGUGUAACUUCUGACUUCAAUAGCAAGGGCUGGUCACAAGCCGCAAUUAGAGCUGGCCAGGAAAUAGCGGGUUUUGUCUCAUGGCAACUUCUGAGGUUUCAAAAUCUGUUUAUGUUCUGCAGAGGAAACGAAAUCAAAACAUUUCUAAUAUGAAAUGGGAGCCUGUCAAAAUGUCCAUUUUCUGUGCAGCAAGCUCCUCGUUUCACUGUGGCUUUUCCCCUGCCCUCUCACCAUGGCUGGGGAAGGGCUGUGCCUGCAGCUGGGAGCAAUCACGGGGCUGGUGUGCCUGGGUGCCAAAUGCGUCCAUGCUCAAAGCCACCCAUGUGUUUUGAUAAAAAUAGAUGAAUUGAAAACACCAUGACCACUCUCUCCUGCAGCAUUCAGCUUGUUUGGGAUCAGGCUGACCUGGUAAUGCAUUGUGCCAGCACCGCGGGGGGACAGAGGACAACCUAAAUGGCCCACUCCUCUUCUGCUCAGUAGAUGUCUCUAGAAGGACCUUAAAAAUCUGAUUUUUCUCUAAGGUGUAGCAAAAACUUUAAAAAUACCGGCUCUGUAGGGAUAUGAAAGGCCCAAUGGCAUCGUUGGCAGGAGUGAACAUCUGCCUGGGAAUCAUUCGCAUUUCCUCUCCUGCCCCACGUGUUUGCUGACUGUGCUUCCACUGCUCUCCAUCCCAGAUCCACCUCCAGGGCUGUCCAUCCCAGAUCCAUCUCCAGGGCCAUCCAUCCCAGAUCCAUCUCCAGGGCCGUCCAUCCCAGAUCCAUCUCCAGGGCUGUCCAUCCCAGAUCCACCUCCAGGGCCAUCCAUCCCAGAUCCAUCUCCAGAGCCAUCCAUCCCAGAUCCAUCUCCAGGGCUGUCCAUCCCAGAUCCAUCUCCAAUCCAUCUCCAGGGCUGUCCAUCCCAGAUCCAUCUCCAGGGCUCUCCAUCCCUGAUCCAUCUCCAGAGCCAUCCAUCCCAGAUCCAUCUCCAGGGCUGUCCAUCCCAGAUCCAUCUCCAGUGCUUUCCAUCCCAGGUCUGUCUCUACUUCUCUCCAUCCCCGAUCCACCUCCAGUGCUCUCCAUCCCAGAGUGGCUCACUGCAGCUGGGGGUUCUGGUAUAGCUCAUAAAGCUGCACCAGAAAAGUUCCCUUUGCCCACCUUUCCGUGAAAUCUGCUAAUCAAUUUAUGGCGGUGAGUGAGCAUGGUAAGAAAGGGUGAGGAACUUUAACAGGGGCAUUACCUUCCCAAGAGCCUGAGUGCCUUCCAUAGCACACUUCAGACUUAGAAAGCCUUUCUCCAAAUAACUUUCUGCUGGUUAUAUCACCAACUGAAAAUAGUGAAGAAGGUGAAUUUCUUCAGCAUGGCACAGGGAUGUCUUGCUGCCCUGAGUUUGUCCUGUCCUGACUCCCUUCCUCCACUGCCAGCCCAGCUGGUGCUGGGGCAGCCCCUGUUCUGGGCACUUCCCCAGGCACCUGCCAAACCAGAGAUAGAAAUCACAGCACUGCACAGUGGCAAACCAAGGAGCAUGAUCUGAGUGGCUUUGAGCCAUCAGUUGGAAGAGAUGAUGGAUAAUGAAAGGUUGAGAGCAGGAAAAUCUCUUUCCCCGAAGUGUCUGUGUCUGACAUUAAAGAGCCUGAAAUUUUCUCAAAAUGCUUCCUUUUUUUUUUUUUUUUUUUUUCCCCAGACAGCAUGUUUCAACCUAAGGGUUUCAACCUAACCCUUAAAAAAUUACCUUCAAUCAGCUCAGGCCCAUAAUCUUUGCUUUGCCAUUCUCUUUGAACAGGCAGACACUUACAGACACUUAUCACAGGCAGACAGGUCCCAGCUCUGCUCCUUCACAUUCCCCAGAAUAAACCCAUGUGUGAGAACUGGAGACCACCCUGCUGUGGGUACUGUGCACCACCCACAUGCCCCUUCCAGAGACAGGCUGAGGCCAGAAAAGUCCCUGAAGGACUUGUAAAGGAGAGCCAAGACAUCAGAGUAUGCAAGGGCAGAGAGGACAAGCAGCAAGCCCGGGGCCAGGGGACCUGUUGGAGCUGUGGGUAAGUCAACAAGGAAUGUCGUGCUCAUUUCAUCUGGUAGCAUUUGGUCCAUUUAUUUUAAUUGCAAAUAAAUGCAAAGCAGAAAGAAAGGGUUGUAGUUAUUGUUGGAGCAGAGAAAACAUUUU
Taeniopygia guttata (zebra finch) is the source of this 2571-nucleotide long non-coding RNA. The record is from Ensembl. NCBI's taxonomy places the organism in Eukaryota, Metazoa, Chordata, Aves, Passeriformes, Estrildidae.